UCCUUGAUUGAGGUUGGUAGUGGCAACUUCUCUGUUACUUCAAUCUUGGCUUUGCCAACUUCUAUUCCCUUCUUUGACACCUUAUGCACAAGCACUAUUCCUUCUUGUACCAUGAAUUGACAUUUCUCCCGAUUCAAGACAAGGCAUCAUCCAACGUGGAAAGUUGCUGGAGCAUUGCACAAUUUGAAUGGCAUCAUUCUAAAUACGAAGGUACGAUGUGGACAAGUGAAAAUGGUUUUCUACUGAUCUUGAGGUGUAAUGGUGAUCUGAUUAUAUCCGCUAUACCCAUCCAAGAAGCAACGUACUCUUGUUUUCCAAACGAUCAGACAUUUGAUCUAUGAAAGAAUUUGGAGAAGUUGUUGAGGAGCAGUAGAAUGCCAGAAUUAGAGAAGAAAUGUCGGAGAAUUUUUGUGCCAGAGCAUGUUAAUGUUGGAGCAUCGUUUUCUGCAGAAAUUCUUAGGAAGCACAGUAACACGCAUGAUUUUUAUUUAUGUUCGUACAACGCAUGUUUUACUGAGUUUUGCCCUAGUUUUCGGGAGAGCUAUAAAAGCAACAAUAUGUGGGUUGUCUCAUUAUCAAUCCUCAAGGGGGGAAUCGAUCCAAAGAGAGAAAAUACUCAAAAAAUGGUGCUGAAGUCGAGGAGAGCAUACCCAUUUCGUGGAAGAGCUGAUGUCAGGGAAGAGCUACUGCUGCCGUUGCGUGCUGGUGGUCUCCAUCUACAUUUUUCUCUUUUUCUCUAGAAUGGAUUGUAUCUUUCCCUUACCCAUUUCGUUUUCCCUUUUCCCCGUGAACUAGACUCCAUUUUGGGGAGAUUUAUAUGCUGUAACUUGAUACUAAACCUUUAGCUGCUACAUCUAUUUUUAA
Long non-coding RNA from Momordica charantia (bitter melon), 864 nucleotides. RefSeq lists it as uncharacterized. The record is from RefSeq and is a predicted model, not a curated record. NCBI's taxonomy places the organism in Eukaryota, Viridiplantae, Streptophyta, Magnoliopsida, Cucurbitales, Cucurbitaceae.